UGGCGCAGGAGUUACAGUUUCCAC
RNAcentral lists this non-coding RNA (24 nucleotides) under Arabidopsis thaliana (thale cress). Lineage: Eukaryota; Viridiplantae; Streptophyta; Magnoliopsida; Brassicales; Brassicaceae. The record is from RNAcentral.